AGCGAACGCUGGCGGCAGGCUUAACACAUGCAAGUCGAACGAACUCUUCGGAGUUAGUGGCGGAGGGGUGAGUAAGACGUGGGAACGUGCCUUUUGGUUCGGAAUAAUUCAGGGAAACUUGUGCUAAUACCGAAUGUGCCUUUCGGGGGAAGGAUUUAUUGCCAUUAGAGCGGCCCGCGUCUGAUUAGCUAGUUGGUGAGGUAACGGCUCACCAAGGCGACGAUCAGUAGCUGGUCUGAGAGGAUGACCAGCCACACUGGGACUGAGACACGGCCCAGACUCCUACGGGAAGCAGCAGUGGGGAAUCUAGCGCAAUGGGCGAAAGCCUGACGCAGCCAUGCCGCGUGAAUGAUGAAGGUCUUAGGAUUGUAAAAUUCUUUCACCCGGGACGAUAAUGACGGUACCCGGAGAAGAAGCCCCGGCUAACUUCGUG
Molecule: ribosomal RNA, 433 nt
Filed under: uncultured bacterium
Lineage: Bacteria
Description: partial 16S ribosomal RNA
Rfam family: Bacterial small subunit ribosomal RNA
Source: RNAcentral